GUGAGCGUAGCUCAAUCUGGUUAGAGCACUGGACUGUGGAUCCAGGGGUUGGGGGUUCGAUUCCCCUCGCUCACCCCU
This 78-nucleotide transfer RNA is filed under the name bacterium. Its description in RNAcentral is "tRNA-His". It matches the Rfam family "tRNA". From Rfam's summary of the family: Transfer RNA (tRNA) molecules are approximately 80 nucleotides in length. Their secondary structure includes four short double-helical elements and three loops (D, anti-codon, and T loops). Further hydrogen bonds mediate the characteristic L-shaped molecular structure. tRNAs have two regions of fundamental functional importance: the anti-codon, which is responsible for specific mRNA codon recognition, and the 3' end, to which the tRNAs corresponding amino acid is attached (by aminoacyl-tRNA synthetases). tRNAs cope with the degeneracy of the genetic code in two manners: having more than one tRNA (with a specific anti-codon) for a particular amino acid; and 'wobble' base-pairing, i.e. permitting non-standard base-pairing at the 3rd anti-codon position. The record is from RNAcentral.